RNAcentral lists this ribosomal RNA (778 nucleotides) under uncultured Neocallimastigales. RNAcentral describes it as "partial large subunit ribosomal RNA". It matches the Rfam family "Eukaryotic large subunit ribosomal RNA", at positions 23 to 644 of the family's 3401-position model. The record is from RNAcentral. Lineage: Eukaryota; Fungi; Neocallimastigomycota; Neocallimastigomycetes; Neocallimastigales.
ACACGCAUGACACACUGCAUAUCAAUAAGCGGAGGAAAAGAAACUAACAAGGAUUCCCUUAGUAACGGCGAGUGAAGCGGGAAGAGCUCAAAUUUGAAAUCUUCAAGGUUCUACCUUGACGAAUUGUAGUUUAUAGAAGUGUUUUCUGUUAGUAGAGUGGCAAAAGUUCUUUGGAAUAGGACAUCAUAGAGGGUGAGAAUCCCGUAUUUGGUCAUUCUUUCUAGCUUUGUGAUACACUUUCAACGAGUCGGAUUGUUUGGGAAUGCAGUCCAAAAUGGGUGGUAAAUUUCAUCUAAAGCUAAAUACUGGCGAGAGACCGAUAGCGAACAAGUACCGUGAGGGAAAGAUGAAAAGAACUUUGAAAAGAGAGUUAAACAGUACGUGAAAUUGUCAAAAGGGAAGCGUUUGACACCAGUGUUGUUUUUCCGAAAAUCAAUUACGAAUGUUUUAUUUUUGAGGAGUUAUGACUUCAUCGGCUUGCUCCUUUCUUUACUGAAACUUUCUUAAUGCACUUUUCGGUUAACAAGUCAACAUCAAUUUCUUUUGUUGUAAAAGGGUAUGAGGAAGGUGGCUUUCUUUUCGGAGAAAGUGUUUAUAGCCUUGUGCCUCUGCAAUCGGAGAGAUUGAGGUCUGCAGCGUAGAUCCUUCGGGGUUAGAUAGCAUUUGUGCUAAGCUAUAGCUUUUCAUAGACAACUUGUUGACUAUGAUUUAGUCAUUGUAGCUUACUCGCUUAUGCUAUUUUACCUACGCUUAGGAUGUUGAUAGUCACAGCGUGUAC